This 216-nucleotide ribosomal RNA is filed under the name Glomeromycotina sp. Its description in RNAcentral is "partial small subunit ribosomal RNA". The stretch from base 40 to 216 matches the Rfam family "Eukaryotic small subunit ribosomal RNA", at positions 686 to 864 of the family's 1831-position model. The record is from RNAcentral. Lineage: Eukaryota; Fungi; Glomeromycota.
GGGUAAGUAGGUUGGUCGUGCCACCGGUACGUACUGGUCUCACUGAUUCCUCCUUCCUGAAGAACCGUAAUGCCAUUAAUUUGGUGUUGCGGGGAAACAGGACUGUUACUUUGAAAAAAUUAGAGUGUUUAAAGCAAGCUAACGCUUGAAUACAUUAGCAUGGAAUAAUGAAAUAGGACGAUCGAUCCUAUUUUGUUGGUUCCUAGGAUUGACGUA